Molecule: ribosomal RNA, 484 nt
Filed under: uncultured bacterium
Lineage: Bacteria
Description: partial 16S ribosomal RNA
Rfam family: Bacterial small subunit ribosomal RNA
Source: RNAcentral
AUUGAACGCUGGCGGCAGGCCUAACACAUGCAAGUCGAGCGGAUGAAGGGUGCUUGCUCCUGGUUUCAGCGUCGGACGGGUGUGUAAUGCCUAGGAAUCUGCCUGGUAUUUUGGGCUAACGUCCGUACACGGGCGCUAUUACCGCAUACGUCCUGAUGUAGAAAGUUGGGGUUCUUCUGUCCUCACGCUUUCUGCUUUGCCUUGGUCGUAUUAGCUAGUUGUUUGGGUAAAGUCAUACCAAGGCGACGAUCCGUAACUGGUCUGAGAGGAUGAUCAGUCACACUGGAACUGAGACACGGUCCAGACUACUACGGGAGGCAGCAGUGGGGAAUAUUGGACAAUGGGCGAAAGCAUGAUACAGCAAAGCCGCGUGAGUGAAGAAGGUCUUCGGAUUGUAAAGCACUUUAAGUAGGGAGGAAGGGAAGUAAGUGAAAACCUUGAUGUAUUGACGGUAACAACAGAAUAAGCACCGGCUAACUACGUG